CAGGUCGGGAGCAAUGGCUUCCUGGGUUCAGUGUCUCAUUUCCGGCAUUUUUAUUAAAUCGACAAAGAGAAAGGAAGAAGCGACUCUUCAGAAUGGAGAAGGAACUGGAACUUUAACCCGUUGAGGGGCAAAAUAAUAAUAAUAGUGAUAAUAAUGAAAUGAAAAAUGAGAAGCAGCUUCCUGUUAAGCAUUCAAUGGCGUUGCGAAUGUGCGGUCGAUUUACUCUCCCAGAGUGCAGUGCGGCCCCAGUCACUGAUAGAGGGCUUUCCCAUCCGCGGGGGAUUUUGGGAAAAGAGCCCGCCAUUGCACUGUCACCAGUAAGGACAUAAAGAAAUCUUAAAGGGGGACAGCCCAGGCUGAGUCUACGCCACCCAAAAGAUUGUGCACACAGGGAGUAAUCAGUCUUUGCCCAAGUGCUUUUGAGCCUUGUGUGAGAAGCCUUCCCUGGAUGCUUGUCAUUUGCCCUGCACACAUGCCCCGAUUGCAAAGCUUUGCUUUCGCCCAACGACAUGCUCCGGGUCCCCUUCAGCUGUUUAUCGCAGGAGAGUUAACCUCAGCGAUGUGACUGCUGCUGGAGAGUUCUUCCAAGCGAAGUACCUUCUGCUGGAGAGACGACCCGAGUGAAGUGAAUGAUGCUGGAGAGCCUACACGUGCGAAGUGACUGCUGCUGGAGAGACCACGCGAGCGAUGUAACUAGUGCUGGAGAGACCACCCUAGCGAAGUGACUGCUGCUGGAGAGACCACGCGAGCGAUGUAACUACUGCUGGAGAGACCACCCGAGUGAUGUAACUACUGCUGGAGGCUCCAUUGGAGAGAUCGCCAAGAUAAUCGGUACCAUUUGGUGCUCAGGAAACCACCAUCCCCAAUGUUCUCAGUGUCCAUGAGCUGUUCCAGGCCUCCUUCCUGUUAAGUCCUGAAAAGUUGGUUCGUGCAUGUUCUGGACCGGCGCGAUUUCAGGCUUUAAAGACACAUAGGGCAGGUGGUCGGGAGUCUGGGAGGGCUGGAAUUGGACGUAAUUGUUUGAAAAUGGCAAGUUACACUACAAAUAUGGAAUUUUAAUUCUAAUAUGCGAAAAAUUUUCUCAUCUACAUCGUUGCAAACUUACUAGUCAGAAUCAGUUCAUGUAUUUGUGCAGGUGUAGCAAUAAUUAAUUUUAUACUGCCGUGAAACGCCAUAGAUAAAUAUUAAAUUCAGACAAAAUGAAGGAUUCCAUUCAGAUCCCCUUGCUGCUGUCCACAUAAUUAUUCCCUGUGGCUUAACUAUGUUCCAUGUUGAAUGUUGAACUUGCAAACUACAUGUAUAAAUCCAGCAGCCUGCUGGACCCAGCUGCACGGCAGCAUCAGUUGUGCCUCGGGUCAAGUGCCACAUGGAUUUUUUAUCUCUUUGGCACAAGAUCAAUAUCUACAUUUUUGGAUAUGUAAUUUUUGAAAUCUAGGAAUUCGAAGUGUUUACAAGCUUUGAACGGAAUGUAUCUUUGUAAGAAUGACACACGUUCACAAACACUUACUUGAGAAAUUCUGUUCAGUUCUACAGGACUGAGUUCCAUGAAUUUAGCUAAAGUUUGCUGCAAGGAUAGUGAUCUGCCCUCAGCAUUAUGUACAUCCAAAGUGAUACAUUUGGUAUUUUAUUAUUUGAGGACAUCAUCGGUGAUGUUGCUUUCCAAACAUCAAGAAAGAAAGCGUUUCAAUGUUUUUGAAUCAUAUGAUGUGCAAACAGAUUUGCUGCAGUUUGUAUUACUGCUUCCUCUUAAUAAGCUGCUGAUUGUUCUAACAGCUUUUCUGUUUGUGUCGUCAAAAGUUUUCAUUUUUACCAAUAAACAAAUUGUGAA
Carcharodon carcharias (great white shark) is the source of this 1828-nucleotide long non-coding RNA. RefSeq lists it as uncharacterized. The transcript has 2 exons. NCBI's taxonomy places the organism in Eukaryota, Metazoa, Chordata, Chondrichthyes, Lamniformes, Lamnidae. The record is from RefSeq and is a predicted model, not a curated record.